This 405-nucleotide ribosomal RNA is filed under the name uncultured bacterium. RNAcentral's name for it is "partial 16S ribosomal RNA". It matches the Rfam family "Bacterial small subunit ribosomal RNA", at positions 28 to 526 of the family's 1533-position model. The record is from RNAcentral.
GACGAACGCUGGCGGCGUGCCUAAUACAUGCAAGUCGAACGAGUGGCGAACGGGUGAGUAACACGUGGGUGAUCUGCCUUGCACUUCGGGAUAAGCUUGGGAAAUUGGUUCUAAUACCGGAUAGUGCAAGAUGAGCCUGCGGCCUAUCAGCUCGUGGGUGGGGUAAGGGCUACCAAGGCGUGACGGGUAGCUGGCCUGAGAGGGUGUACGGCCACAGUGGGACUGAGAUACGGCCCGGACAACUACGGGCGGCAGCAAUGAGGAGUAUUGCACGAGGGGCGGAAGCCUGAUGCAGCGACGCAGCGUGGGGGAUGGAGGACUUCGGGUUGUAAACACCUUUCGACAGGGACGCGGUACCUGUAUAAGAAGCACCGGCUAACUACGUGCCAGCAGCCGCGGUAAUUC